RNAcentral lists this long non-coding RNA (26009 nucleotides) under Citrus maxima (pomelo). RNAcentral's name for it is "long non-coding RNA (CMAX_LNC000995)". The record is from RNAcentral. Lineage: Eukaryota; Viridiplantae; Streptophyta; Magnoliopsida; Sapindales; Rutaceae.
CAUCUUCAAAUCUCUAAGUAGUUUUUCCUUGGCCUUGUGCUUCUUGCCUUGGAGAUGCACGUCUAGACCUCUCUCGGUAGUAGCAGUGACCUGACAGAGGGCACAACUCCACUCCUUGGGUUUGCUUGAACUCGUUGAAGGAAGCUCUCUAGAACCUGCAGGUGGUGUGCCAGCUUUCUGCUUUGAUCCACAAACACUGGUAUCAGGCUUAGGCUGGAAAUGAUACCCAAACACAGAAACCACAAUGCCUUAUAUUAGUUAUCACAUCAAUGGUAAAAAUGAAAAAUAUUUCCAGUGAACUCCAUCAUCUGCUAUUGCAGUACAGAUGAAAGAAUUUGUUUACAAAAUGAUAAUGUGCAAAUUUUAUUUUAAAUUGUGAAUUCUCAAGAAAGGUAGGAAUGUAGAAGUAUAUUCAAAUAGUUAAUACAACCAGAAUCCUUGUUUAUUAAUAACAUUUCCAGCAUUGAACUAGGAAAAUAUCUCCAUCCCAAAAAAGAAAAAAAAAAGGAAUAUGUUUGAAUAGGAUUACGAAAUACUUUCUUAAUAAGCUGGACAAGGAGAGAUGAUAUCUUAUGAGCAUUAUAAUUCAUAAUUUGAGGAAAAACCAUUUUAAUGGAGCUUCCAGCCCAUCGCACAUACACAAACACAAUCAAUAAGAUUUAACAUAAGAAAUUACCGGGAAAAAGAAACAUCACAAAUCAAUCUGUACAAGUUCAUGUGACACUUCAUGGUAAACAUAUGUAACCUCUCUUGGAAACUUAGCUUGUGACAAGCUCACAUUUUCUCUGUGUUUUCGUUCAAAAAAGGCUUCAGACACACAUUAAUUCCAGGCUGUGGAGGAUCAUAUGUCCUCAUUGCCCAAAUUUUUAAAGCCACAUACAUUGGCAUUUGCACGCAUGGUCAAUGAGUUACACAACUCUGUUGUCUACUUGAGUUGACCAAGCAAACUGAAUUUGUGAACUUUGACCGACAUAAAUAACCCAAUGCUAACAUGUUUGGAAUUAAAUCAAGAUUGUGAGUCCAAAUGUACUCCCCGACAAACUUGUCACCUGUGCAUCAAGACAAAGUCUUAUAGCACUAAGAAUGAACAUGUGAACCUCUAAGCAACAACCUCCUAAUAACAUAAAAAUCAAGGUUGGUGUGGGAUAAAGCCAUUCAAAUGGACAUGUAAAGGGUAACUUUGAUGAAUAAGGGUUUAAGAGAAACAAUCUUAUCACAGAGUAUUUCAAUUGGAGCGGAUGAAGAAACUAACAUGAAACAAACUCACUUAUCUCUAUUUAUUUUUCAAUUUUCAUAGAUCCAAAAUCUAAAAUUAUCAUUUUGAGCUACCCUCAAUUAGUAAGCACUGCAUUGUCACUGCUUUCUUCUGAAAUUUUCCAUCAGCAGAAAAUCUCUAACAAAUCAAAACAAGACUUACCAAGUUUCAUAAGUAUCAAAACAAAAACGAGCAAAGGUCCACAGGGAAGUUCUAGAAUGAAAAAUACUAAUGACGUUGUUACAGUGAAUCUCAGGGUCCAUUUUUCGUGAGGUUAAUGAUUGCAUUCUGGGUUGUGUUGCUAUCAGUCUUUAGUGUUCAUUCAUCUUUUUAUGGUAAGUUGCAUGCAUUUGUUUUGUCUUCAGAGGUUAUGGUGUCAAAUUGAGCGGACACACGUUUGGCUUAUAGAUGAUAUGACCCUGAAACUAUGUCGCAGCUGUUGCUUGUUUUCAGCAUUCUAAUCAUUCACCAACUUGGGAUCUUCAAGUCCGUUGGUGGAAUUAUUUGCACCAUCCAAGUCUUGACGUGCACCCCUUGAUUAUACUCGGUGGGAUAAAUUUUGCACUUAUUUAAAAAAAAUAAAUAAAUAAAGAAUCCCCUGUGGGGAAGUCAAAAUGCAAACACGAAUUGAUUAGUGAAGAGGACACAGUAAUUUGACACGAUAAUUAAUCAUCUCGUUAUGAUGUGUUAGUGUCUAAUUCACAAAUUCGGGUAAUAACCGUCUUAUGAAGUGUCUAAUUUUAUUGCUCCGUUAAUAAAGUGUACUUGGGCUAGCUACGUUACCCCAGCGGUUGGAUUUCCAUUGCUUCCAAUGAGUCAAUACAAAGGCUUAUAGCAUUAGCAUGAUUAACAUAUAUUGCAGCAUCGUAAACAAUGAUUGGAAUCCUGAGAUCUUUGGUAACAUGAUUAUAGACAAUUACGACCAUGUUUGGAUAGCUUAGUUUAAAAAUUACAACAUUAAAAUAUCAGGUAAAUAUUAGUUGUUGUAACUAAAAAAAAUUAUUAUAUUUUUUAUUUUACACUUAUAUGAUAAAAAAUUUAUUUUUUUUAUUGAUUUUGUCAAAAUUAUUAUUUAAAAAUUAUAUAUUCACUGCAUACUAAAUUAAGUUAAUUACUAGGAAAUAAUUAAUUACAAGUUAAUUAAAUUAGAAAUAUGUGUCCAACCAUUAAAACUACGUAUAUCAAGUUAGUUAAUUACUAAGGAAAGAAUUAAUAACAAAUUUUCAUCGCUACGUAUUUAAUUACGAAACUGAUAACUAUAUAUUAGAAAAACUAUAAUUUUAUGAAAACUAAAGAUCAUUACUAAUAUAAAACUAAAACCAACAAUAAUUAUAUGAUAGGAUAACAACAAAUCCAGAAUAGAUUAACAAACACGUCGAUUCUGAAGCUGAAUUUAUAACCGAAUCUUAAUUCUAUUUCUUCUGUAUUUACAUAAUCAUCCUGCUAAUUAAAGAUUUACAACUUUGCCGUGGAAGGUCGGUGGCUUCCAUGCCUUUUUUCUUCUUCUCCUCACAAAUUUUGCUUUUGCUUCCACUUUACCAUUAAAGAACAUCCCAAAGCUUGGUGUUGUGCGUGGAAGGACUAUUUUUCUAAACCCUAGUAAAAAAAUAUCAACUUCAGAACCAGAGGGUGAUCUCGAAACUUAAUAUUAUGAUCAAAUACUUGAUCACUUUAACUAUUAUCCACAAAGUUAUUUAACUUUUCCUCAUAGAUAUGCGUUGAACUUCAAGCAUUGGGGCGGUGGCAGACCCAUGGCGGCGCCGAUAUUGGCAUAUCUUGGUGAAGAGAGUAGUCUUAAUAUGAUGACCUUGGUGGCAUUGGAUGGCUUACUGAUAAUGCUCAUCGAUUUAAAGCCUUACAAGUUUACAUAGAGGUAAGUAAAGAAUUUGUUAUCAGGCUAGCUUGAUAAUAAUUGAAAUAGAGUUCGCAUACGAAAUAAUAAUAAUAAAGACAAAUCCUAAUCAGAAUAUUCUACAAUAUGAACUAAAAAGUUGUGAUGGAUUUUUUUUUAAUUCAAUUUUUUAUGCAGUAUCGGUUCUAUGGAAAAUCAGUACCUUUUGUAUCAAGCAAAGAUGCCCUAAAGAAUGCAACUCUUCGUGGAUAUUUCAACUCUGGUCAAGCUUUGGCACAUUAUGCAAAGAUUCUCUUACACAUCAAGGAAAAUUUAUCGGCCGAAAUGUCUCCCAUUAUCGUUGUUGGAGCAUCUUAUAGAGGAAGUAAAUUUUAAUAUUAUUAACUUACUUACAUCUUUUGAUUAAUGUCGUGUCAUUUGUUGCAUCAUUUUAUUCAUUUUGAUCUCGUUUGACCAAAAUAUUGAUUACGCCAAUAUUAUUUUGAUACAAAUUUAUUUUGCAUUCCAAUUAAUGAAUACUUUCAGCGAUCGUAAAAUUAAGAAAUAGUAAACAUAUUUAAGAUAAUUACGUUUUUAAAAAUAACCAUCUCAAUUCAUCCUAUUUUAUCAGAUCUGGGUAGGGAUGGCAAUGGGGUGGGGUGGGGGUGGGGAGGCCUACCUCAUUCCCCACCCCAUUCCCCAAUAAAUUUAGUGGGGUGGGGAUGGAGAAUCCCCAUGUGGGGAAUGAUUUCCCCAUCCCCACCCCAUUCCCCAUUUAUCUAUUUUAUAAUAUGUAUAAAUAUAUUAUUUUAGUAAGUUAAAAAUUAGAGACUUAAAAUAAAAUCAUCAUCAUAUUAUAAAGUAUUUAAAUUCUUUUAAAAAAAUAUCUAAAAAUUUGAAACAAUAUCUUAAAAUGAUAUUAAAAGUGAAAAAUAUUUAAAGAGCGUAACACCUUAAAAGAGAAAAGAAAAUAUAACAAUGUUUCAGAGUUGAAAAAUAUUAUAGGAUUUUCUUUCAUUCAUAUCUUGUUUAUGUUGCAUAAAAAUUAAAAAAAAUUAUUAAUUGACAUUAUAAUUGAUAAAAUAAAAAUUAUUAAAUAAGAAUUAAAAAUAUAUUUAUAUAUAAUGGGGAUUGGGAUUGGGGUGGGGGUGGGGUGGGGAGUAUAAAACCAAACCCCACCCCAUUAAGAAUUUGGGGAUUAUUUUCUCCCCACUCCCCACCCCAUUCCCCAAAAAUUAUUCAAAAUUUUUUCCAUUUGGGGUGGGGCUCCAUAGGACCCCAAACCCGUGGAGAAUUUUGCCAUCCCUAGAUCUGGGAUGUGAUAUGGUUUUGAGAGUUACUCAUUUGUGGGUUUGUUAUCACCAGUGCUUGCAGCAUGGUUUCGCUUUCCUCACAGUGCUUUGGGAGCAGUUGCCUCGUCCGCCCCAAUUAUCUAGUUUGAUAAUAUCACACCCUCAAACGCAUAUUAUGAUCUUGUCACCAAUGACUUUAGGGUAAGAAAUAAAAUUAAUUAAUUAAAAUUCUAUAUAUGUAUGAUUGUGUUUUCUUGUUAAAAUUUAACCAUUAAAUUUUGAAAAUUAAUGAUGCAAGAAGCCAGGGAGAGCUGCUACAUGACCAUCAAACAGUCCUGGGCUGAAAUGGAUAAAACCGCUGCUAGAAAAAAUGGACUUGCUUCUCUCUCUAAAAAGUUCAAAACCUGCAAGAAAUUAAUCAUAUUACUUUACAUAACUGCUUAUAUAUAUCCAUCCGAUUUUCCCUUAAGUACAAUUAAUGCAAUGUUAUUGUAGCAUCAUUAUCGAAUGUACUAUGUCUAAUUAAUUAUCUGACAUUCUCAGAGUAUAUAUACAUUUCGAUUAACGUGUAAUAUACAAAGUAAAAAUCUGGAUUUGGGCUUAUACACGGCCUUUGCAUUACCCCAUAUAUAGUAUACUGGUGCUUCGAUUCAGCCCUCCAGAGGUUCGUAUUUUACAGAAUCUAAAUUUGAACUACAAAACCACGCACAACUCUGAUUAUCAAAUAAGGCCAAAUUUGUACGUUUGCAUUUGAUAAUAUCAAUAGCUUCAUACUUAUAAAGUUUAUUGUAAUCUAACUAAAUAUAACAACAUUUUUUAGACGGCAUGUUGAAAGAUCUUUUAUAAUGUUACUAACCUUGUGGCACUUAAUUCUAUGUUGUUGUUGUUGUUUAUUUGAUUACAAGCCUCUGAAGGAUGUUUCAGAAUUGAAGGAUUAUUUAGAGUGUAUGUAUACGGGUGCAGCUCAGUAUGAUGAUCCUCAGGAAUAUCCAGUGAACAAAGCUUGUGAAGGUAUCGAUGGAGCUUCAGAAGGCACGGAUACCCUAGGCUGGAUAUUCUCAGGAAUUGUUGCUUUAAGAGGGGAGAAUUCUUGCCAUGAUGUUGAUGAAUUCUUAUCCGAUGAAACACUAGACUCGAGCUGGGGCUGGCAGGUAUGUGAUUACGGGUGACAUGAUUUCAUUAGAUACUUCUAUUGAGAUCGUCAAACAAACAACAUGUUGCGAUGAAUGAAUCUCUCACCUAACAAUACCUAUUUUAUGUACAUCUCUUAAUUUUAUUUAUGAGACUACAUAUUUAUGAAUGAUUAAAAAUAGUUUUCUCCUUUAUUUAGUUAUUUAUUUAUUAUGAUUCUUUUUUUGUUUUGGGAGGGGCGGGGAGGGGGGGGGUUUCUCAUGCAGACAUGCAGUGAAAUGGUCUCAUCGAUUGGAAUUGACAAAAAUAAUACAAUUUUCAAGCAGACGAUAGAAUAUAUGAAUUCAUGCAAUAAGUCUUAUGGAGUGGCUACAAUACCACAUUGGAUUACAACUUAUUACGGCAGUCAUGUAAGUGUCAAUUAAUCCCCAAAUUAAUUCUUUUAAUAAUUUAAUUUUUUUCAUUUUCUUUUUUAAUUAUAAAUUUUAUCUCAAUUUUUGUUCGAUUUUUAUUUCUUUUUAAUUUGCAUGGUAUAAGAGUGGUUGUAAAGAGAUUUGGUAGCAACCUUAUUUUCUCUAAUGGCUUUCGUGAUCCCUAUAGCAGCGCUGGGUAAUUAAGCUUAAGAAUUUUGGACAUUCUUUUCUAUCAAAGUUACCUAUUUAAUUAUAUACCUUUUUCUUUUUCUUUUGUUUUUUUUUUUUUUUUUGAGAUUACAGUGUUCUGGAAGAUAUAUCAGAUAGCAUAAUAGCAGUGAUAACAAAAAAUGGUAUGUAAAUGUUUCUGUAAAAUAAAAAAAUUAGUGUUCAAUUGUUUGAGGGAAAUACUCCGACGAGACCAGACGUGAUGAGCAGAUGUUUGGUGGCAGAAGUCUGCGAGCAGGUGUGUCCUGUAAGAGCCAGGUAGCAGGGGAACAGGGGCAGGAAUAUCCUGCUCAUCCACGAGCACGUCAUCCGCGAGGCCAAUUUCCUGUAAGAAGCAUAAAGCCAUUCCUGCUGUAUUCUUGCUAAGGGUUGAUUCGAGGAGACCCGGUCAAUGACAGUUGGCGAGGCAUGCUCUCCAGCCCGAGAAUCUAGGCACGAAGGCCACGCAACCACCCACGACUACGGAAAUGGGGAAUCCACGUUCGAGAGGUGGGAGGAUAACGGGCGUAGACUGCGAAAAACUGGGAUUCAGAGGAAGCCUAUAAAAAGGUAGCCAAUGAAGGUAAAGGGGUUAGCAAUUUUGAGAUUAGAAGGGAGAUAAAGAAAUUCUAAAGAAGAGAAAACUACCCAAAAGCCAUAAGAUCUGUGACAAGCGUUCCCCGAACCUUAAUAUCUGACUUGAGCGUCAGAGGGUUUGCACCGGGAAAACAACCGGCGUACUCUGACUUGUCUGUGUGUGCAGGAACCUCUGGAGAAGAAGCUUUACGAGGAGAGAUCCUGGUCGUGGUGAAGUUGAUCGAGCAGAGACCCUGGUCGUAGAACGAGGAGAACCAGAAUCUCGCAUCAACAUUUUGGCACCGUCUGUGGGGAGCUGAUCAAAAAGCUUAUGUUGAUAGCAAGAAGAGGAGUGAAGUAAGUGAAAAGCGAUGGAAACAGGGGAAGCAAUGCAGAUAACAUCCCUCGAUACCCGAGUGGAAAACAAGAAUGGCAGACAAGAACCUGUAGAGGAUCUGGAAACUGUAAGCCUAGGACCAGAGAAUCCGGGAAAGACAAUCAGAAUCGGGUCGAGACUUAAGGGAGAGCAAAAGCAGGAGUUGGUGAAAUGCUUACAGGCUCAUGCAGAUGUGUUUGCUUGGACACAUGAAGACAUGCCAGGGAUUGACCCUGAGGUAGCAUGUCAUAAGCUGGCAGUAAAGAAAGGUGCUCGGACAGUAAGGUAGAAGAGGAGGUGCUUCAACCAGGAGAGGUAUGAGGCUAUAAAUGGCGAGGUGGAGAAGCUCUUGAGAGCAGGGUUCAUUCGGGAAGUCAAUUACCCUGAAUGGAUAUCGAAUGUGGUGUUGGUAAAGAAAGCGAAUGGCAAGUGGAGGAUGUGUGUGGAUUUCACAGACCUCAAUAAGGCGUGCCCAAAGGACAGCUUCCCUUUGCCAAAGAUCGAUCAGCUAGUAGAUUCAACGGCUGGACACGCUCUGCCUAGCUUCAUGGACGCGUUCUCGGGAUACAACCAGAUCCCCAUGUACGAGCAGGACGAGGAGAGCACGGCUUUCAUCACUAACCAGGGUUUGUUCUAUUACAGGGUAAUGCCAUUUGGUCUCAAAAAUACUGGGGCCACCUAUCAGAGGAUGGUGAACAAAGUCUUUAAGCCGUUGAUUGGGAAAACCAUGGAGGUGUACGUGGAUGACAUGAUCACCAAGUCCAAAAUCCCGAAGGAACAUGUCAGACACCUCGAGGAGACAUUUGAGCUUUUGAGGAAGUAUAAGAUGAAGCUCAACCCGGAGAAAUGUGCUUUUGGGGUCGAGUCGGGGAAGUUCCUUGGAUUCAUGGUGAGUCAUCGGGGGAUCGAAGCAAAUCCCGAGAAGAUCUAGGCGAUCGUGCAGAUGAGGUCUCCUCGUAGCCUGAAGGAAAUACAAAGCCUUACGGGGAGAUUGGCGGCAUUAAGCCGGUUCAUAUCCAAGGCUACAGAUAAGUGUCAACCAUUCUUUCAAGUGAUAAGGAGGGGAAAGAAAACAGAGUGGACCCCGGAAUGCGAGGAAGCCUUUCAGAACUUGAAGCAGUAUUUACAGCAAGCCCCUCUGCUAUCCACACCGAGGGAUGGGGACAAGUUAUUUUUGUAUCUGGCGAUAUCGGAUCGGGCCGCCAGUUCUGUUCUGGUGAGAGAGGAAGAAGGAGUUCAGUAUCCACUAUACUACACCAGCAAGGCCCUGCUCGACGCUGAGACCAGAUACCCACCGUUGGAGAAAUGGGCACUUGCCCUUGUGGUUGCUGCUCGGAAGUUGAGGCCAUAUUUUCAGGCAUUCCCAGUCUCGGUUAUAACAAACCAGCCAUUGCGUCAAACUCUGCACAAGCCCGAUGCUUCUGGUUGGCUCGUCAAGUGGGCUAUAGAGCUGAGCGAGUUCGACAUAGACUACAAACCCCGAGCAGCGAUAAGGGCUCAAGCAAUGGCCAAUUUCGUAGCAGAAUUCACAGAGCCUGAAGUAUGUUUAGACCAACAAGAUGUAGUUGCAGACAAUGGCGAAGCUCAAGUAUGGCAAAUGUCUGUAGAUGGGUCAUCAGGGGAGCAGGGAUUGUAUUGGAAGGCCCGGAGGGGGAGGAGAUCUCUUAUGCUGUAAAGUUAGAAUUCACAGCAACAAAUAACCAGGCAGAGUAUGAAGCCUUGAUAGCAGGAUUGGAACUGGCUAAGGCCGUGAGAGCAGAUAGAGUGAAGAUCAGAACUGAUUCCCAGCUGGUUGCGAAUCAUGUCAGUGAAAGAUUCCAACCAAGAGAGAAGAAGAUGGAGCAGUACUUGAAGAUAGUCAGGCAGAUGAUGGGAAAAUUCGAAGCGGUGGAAGUAGUACAAAUCCCAAGGGAGCAGAAUAGUCGAGCCGAUAUUUUGGCCAGGAUGGCAGCGGUAGCAGACCCAAAAAUGCCAAAGUCGAUCCCUCUAGAGGUGAAGUCCAGCCCGAGCAUCGAGCCGAAUUCAGGGGUACUGCGGAUAGAACAAAAAUGCUCGUGGAUGGACCCGAUAGUUUCAUACCUUAGAGACGGGGUAUUACCACCAGAUAAGCUGCGAGCUCGGAAGAUUAGAGCCCAGGCCUCGAGAUACACGAUGAUUGAUGGGAUACUGUAUCGGCGAGGAUAUACACUACCUUUCCUUCGAUGUUUGGAUGAGGACGACGCGGAUUACGUCCUGAGAGAAGUACAUGAAGGAAUUUGCGGGAAUCAUUCUGGUGGGAGAUCCCUGGCCCACAAGGUUCUAAGGCAGGGAUAUUUCUGGCCGACAAUGCACCAGGAUGCACAGGAGAAGACCAAGAGCUGUGUAAGCUGCCAGAGUUUUGCAAGUUUCCCCAACCAACCACCAGAGAAGCUCACCUCUAUGGCCUCCCCUUGGCCAUUUGCUCAAUGGGGAAUUGAUCUGAUCGGCCCGCUGCCAAAGGGACGAGGAGCAGCAACGCAUGCAAUAGUUGCUAUAGAUUACUUCACGAAGUGGAUAGAGGUCGAAGCCCUUAGUAGGAUUACAGAGAAGAAAACGACAGACUUUGUGUGGAGAAACCUGGUCUGUCGAUACGGGAUCCCUUAUGCCUUGGUAACGGAUAAUGGCAGGCAGUUCGAUAAUCACAGCUUCAGGGAUUUCUGCCAGAACCUCGGGAUAGAGCUGAAGUAUUGCUCGCCUGCUCACCCUCAAUCGAAUGGACAAGUAGAAGCAGCCAACAAGACCAUCAAGAGACUUUUGAAAACCAGGCUUGGAGCAAAAAAUGGUACAUGGGUUGAUGAGCUGUCAGGUGUCCUAUGGGCAUACAGGACAACCCACAAAACAGCAACUGGGGAGACACCGUUCGCCCUGGCUUUCGGACAUGAAGCGGUCGUACCAGCUGAGAUAGGAACGACCACGCACCGGACAGACCAUUUCAAUGAGCAGGAGAACGACGAGCAGAUGUGUUUGAAUAUUGAUCUGCUAACGAAGAAGAGGGAGCAAGCAGCUGGUCGAUCAGCCAUUUACCAGCAAAGGGUUGCUCGUUAUUAUAACCAGAAGGUGAAUGUACGGCAAUUCAAGGUCGGAGACUGGGUACUGAGAAGAGUGAAUCAGAGCACCAAAGAUUCGACUCAAGGAGUGCUGGGACCGAAUUGGGAAGGGCCAUAUAGAGUCAAGCAGAUAGUGGGACCCGGAGCUUACAAGCUGGUUCGCACAGACGGCCACGAGGUGAAACGCCCAUGGAACGCAGCACACCUCCGAAAAUACUUCCAGUAAGACUUGUUCACAUUUGAAAGCUAUUUCUGCUCGUGUUCAUUAUCGUUUAUCUUUUAUGUUUUAUAUCCAAACAAUUUCAUGUAAGUCGAAUCCUGCCAUUAAUGGAACGUCGAGGAAUUUCAUUCGCUUGAAACUGUGAAAAUUUCCUAAGGCAUGCAAAGGCUCGUCAAGUCUCAAAGCCUGUUUAUGGCGAGACCAGAAGCCAAGCGUGCCAAGAUCUGCUCGGCCACGAGAAGGCGAGCAAAAUCCCAAGCUUUGAAGAAAUUGCCUAAGGCAUGCAAAGGCUCGACAAAGUCUCAAAGCCUGUUUAUGGCGAGACCAGAAGCCAAGCGUGCCAGGAUCUGCUCGGCCACGAGAAGACGAGCAGAAUCCCAAGCUUUGAAGAAAUUGCCUAAGGCAUGCAAAGGCUCGACAAAGUCUCAAAGCCUGUUUAUGGCGAGACCAGAAGCCAAGCGUGCCAGGAUCUGCUCGGCCACGAGAAGGCGAGCAGAAUCCCAAGCUUUGAAGAAAUUAUCUAAGGCAUGCAAAGGCUCGACAAAGUCUCAAAUCCUGUUUAUGGCGAGACCAGAAGCCAAGCGUGCCAGGAUGUGCUUGGCCACAAGAAGGCGAGCAGAAUCCCAAGCUUUGAAGAAAUUACCUAAGGCAUGCAAAGGCUCGUCAAGUCUCAAAGCCUGUUUAUGGCGAGACCAGAAGCCAAGCGUGCCAGGAUCUGCUCGGCCACGAGAAGGCGAGCAGAAUCCCAAGCUUUGAAGAAAUUACCUAAGGCAUGCAAAGGCUCGACAAAGUCUCAAAGCCUGUUUAUGGCGAGACCAGAAGCCAAGCGUGCCAGGAUCUGCUCGGCCACGAGAAGGCGAGCAGAAUCCCAAGCUUUGAAGAAAUUACCUAAGGCAUGCAAAGGCUCGACAAAGUCUCAAAGCCUGUUUAUGGCGAGACCAGAUGCCAAGCGUGCCAGGAUCUGCUCGGCCACGAGAAGGCGAGCAGAAUCCCAAGCUUUGAAGAAAUUGCCUAAGGCAUGCAAAGACUCGACAAAGUCUCAAAGCCUGUUUAUGGCGAGACCAGAAGCCAAGCGUGCCAGGAUCUGCUCGGCCACGAGAAGGCGAGCAGAAUCCCAAGCUUUGAAGAAAUUACGUAAGGCAUGCAAAGGCUCGACAAGUCUCAAAGCCUGUUUAUGGCGAGACCAGAAGCCAAGCGUGCCAAGAUUGGCUCGGCCACGAGAAGGCGAGCAGAAUCCCAAGCAUUGAAGAAUCUUCCAAGGCAUGUGGCAAAACCAUAUACCAAGCCAGAGCCUGCUCGAGCGGACGAAGACGAGCAGAUUCUCAAGCGGAAAAAUAACUCGUAAUUACAAUACAAGAGAGUAAUAAAAAACAUUUCUAUUAAUUUGUUAAUAAUUAACAAAGCAGAUAAUCUUCACAAAUAUUGUUCGUUACAAUACAAGAAACAUAUUUAAGAAGACGGUGGGUCCGCAAGCCGAGCAGCCUCAGUUAGCUGGUCCACCUCAGGUGCUGGGGGAGUAUCUCCAGUUGCGUCUGGGGGGGUACUCGCCUCACCAGCAUCAGCAGGGAUUACACCGGGAGGAGAGUUUUCCUCCUCUAUCACCAUUGGUGCCACCUCUUCGGCAUCCUCCUUUGCAGCCUCCUCGUCCAUAUGUUGGGCGACACCAGCUGCAAGGUCGUCCGUCUUUAGAUCAGGAUGCUGCUUCCCGAGGACGGCCAUGAUGCAACGAUAAGAAUGCCGAAGUCCCUAGUCGUACUGGUUGUCGGCCUCCUUUUCCAAGUUCUCGACCCGAGCUCGGUGGGAAUCGCGAAGAGAUUCGAGCUGAGCCUCAUACAUAGCCUUCUGCCUUUGAAGAUCCUCCUUGACCUUGGCCAGCUCUUCCUCGAGAGUAAUAGCCUUGGCUUGAGCAAGAGAUUCUCGCUCAAUCAACUUCAGAUUCUCGAGGUUUAAGUCCCCUGCUUUCUUCUCAGCAACGUCAGCUCUGGUCGUCGCCGACUGAAUGUCCUCCUUCAUCUUCCUAUCAUAACGGCCAACCUUGGCCUUAUAGUAGGUGGUCAUGCAGCUGAGAUGGAAAGCGCUAUACUGCAUGGCCCCCACCAGCUCGCCUAAGGUGCAGCCAUCAAAGUCCUCGAGGUCCUCCUUGCUCACAAGUUUGGAAAGCUCGUUGAGAUAGGGGGCCAAGUGUUCUGCUCAGCUGUCAGGUAAACGAGAUCUAUGCCCGACAGGAGGCGAAGAGGAAGCAGGAUCAGUGGCUGCUCCACUGGUCUCGCCGAGUUUGGCAGAAGGAGGAGGUAAAGUCUUCAACGGAGAGACCUGCUGCACGAUGUUGGCCCGCUUUGCAGUAGGGGCAUCCCUGUUCUGGUCCCUCUUCGUGGUUUGGGGUCGAGAACGUUUCCUGUUUAGAGCCCCAAUCACGGCGUCCUCCAUCUUAUGGCCAGGAAGUACCAAGCGAGACUCAAGCAAGUUGUAAGUAGUUAGCAGUUCUCGGCUCGAGCAGGAAUUGGCGAGUACAGCCUCGACCCAUUUGAGCUGGUUAGGUUGGAGCGGGAAGUGAACACCCCAAGAAACUACAACACAAACAGACACUUGGUUAGAGACAAGCCAAUAAAGCAAGAACAAUUAUGGAUACAAGACAUCUAAAGCGAGCAGGCAACCUGGGACCGUGAAACGGGGUGGGACGCGACAAUCCUUCCCGUCUAUUUGUGCAACUUGACCCCAAGGACCCCCAGCAAAAAAGAAUUUCCUUUUCCAGUCCCACACAACCAAGAACCGCUAAGUUUCUACUGCUGGUCCAUUACAUUACCCAACACCAGAAACUGGGGGACCGGUGUUUGAGGGAAAUACUCCGACGAGACCAGACGUGAUGAGCAGAUGUUUGGUGGCAGAAGUCUGCGAGCAGGUGUGUCCUGUAAGAGCCAGGUAGCAGGGGAACAGGGGCAGGAAUAUCCUGCUCAUCCACGAGCACGUCAUCCGCGAGGCCAAUUUCCUGUAAGAAGCAUAAAGCCAUUCUUGCUGUAUUCUUGCUAAGGGUUGAUUCGAGGAGACCCGGUCAACGACAGUUGGCGAGGCAUGCUCUCCAGCCCGAGAAUCUAGGCACAAAGGCCACGCAACCACCCACGACUACGGAAAUGGGGAAUCCACGUUCGAGAGGUGGGAGGAUAACGGGCGUAGACUGCGAAAAACUGGGAUUCAGAGGAAGCCUAUAAAAAGGUAGCCAACGAAGGUAAAGGGGUUAGCAAUUUUGAGAUUAGAAGGGAGAUAAAGAAAUUCUAAAGAAGAGAAAACUACCCAAAAGCCAUAAGAUCUGUGGCAAGCGUUCCCCGAACCUUCAUAUCUGACUUGAGCAUCGGAGGGUUUGCGCCGGGAAAACAACCGGCGUACUCUGACUUGUCUGUGUGUGCAGGAACCUCUGGAGAAGAAGCUUUACGAGGAGAGAUCCUGGUCGUGGUGAAGUUGAUCGAGCAGAGACCCUGGUCGUAGAACGAGGAGAACCAGAAUCUCGCAUCAACAUCAAUUAUUAACUAAAUUAUUCGAUAACAUAAUUAAUAAUGUGUAAAUUAGAGCAGGUUCCCAUUGCUUAGACAUACAUCCAGCAGCAGAAGAUGAUCCAGAGUGGUUAGUAAUGCAGCGAAAGAUUGAAGUGGACAUGGUUCAUGAUUGGAUCCUUAAAUACUCUGCAGAUUUGCUUCAAAAUCAGAGCAUAAGAUUAAAUUGGGACUGCAAAAUUAGUUUUUUCUUUUUCUUCCUCUCGUCUAUCUUUCUAAUAUUUAUGGAGCAAAGAUAAAUAAUAGAGCACCUAGCUAGUUUAAGAGUUCAUUUUCAUUAUUCUUAAUCUGGGUUGUCUAAAUGUGUAGAACAAGUGUGCAGUAUUACUUAAUGUAAAGCACAUAUAAAGGGCUCAAUCUUUAUGUAAUAAUCAUAUGGUGAAUAUCAAUUCAUGUACAAUCACAUUGAAUUAACCAUUUUCUCCCUUUGAUUUAGGAGUUACUGUAUAGGUCGUUGAAGCCGGUGACAGUAAAAGAAUUUGCUCUCCAUGUACAUGUAUCUCUCAUUCUCAACCUGUUCCUAUGCUUCUACAUAAUAGCUUCUUUUGUUAAUUAUUUGACAAUCUCAUGCAAUUCCAAACAUGACUUAGAAUCAGUUUGAGAUUCCGGUGGCUAUUGAAAUAAACUACUUCUAUUAUGCGGAUAAAAUAAGCUAAUGAUUAUAAAAGUAGCUCGCUCAGUGUUUGGUAAAUUCAAUUACGAAAGAACUAUUUUAUUAUAUAAUCACUAAAAUAAUUAUAAGUUUAAAUUGUCUUUUAUUUAUAUAUUAGGAUUUAUAAAAAAAAGGUAAUAUACAAUUAUUCUUUUCUUAGUUAUAAAGAAACUUUAAAAAAUGCAUUUUAUUUAAUAAGUUGCUUCUAAAAAUAAUCCCAUACUUGUUUUAAAAGCUAUUGUCAAAAUAGAGAAAAUAUAAAUUAACUUUUAACAAAUUUACCAAACAUUAUUUUUAUCAAAACUUAUAAAAUAAAUUGUUUAUAGUAUUUCAACUGUAAUCCCAAAUACGGCAUUAGUCUUUGUUCAAAAUAAGGUUAGACAUUGAAUAUGUGUACACGUAUAAACGAAAAUAUCUAGACUGAAGAAACAUCUCGACUUAAAUAAGUCUGCUUCAUUCUUUUUUUUCCACAGCAUAUGUCAAGACGUAAGUUCCAAAUCAUUGCUGACUAGGGGAAGAAGUCUUCAAAGUCAAGGUGAUUAGAUUAGCAGGUCACGAAAUUACGUAUGGGAGGGGUUCCCUGCCCUCAACUUAAAAAGAUGCCUUAAAAUUAAAUAUUAAAUAAUAUGGCAUUUGUUAAAUUUAAAAAAUAUAAAAAAAAUUAAAAAGAAAACCUUUUUUUAAGUGCCCAGAGGUUUGAACGGCAACUAUAGGAUUGUUUCACGAUGAACUUCAAAUGUGCAAGACUAAGGCAGGCCUAUCACGAUUUGGGCCAACUUUGGUAUACUCAGGAAGGGGCACGGAAGAGGGAGCAUUUUGGUUUAUAUUUUACUCAUACACACAUGAGUAAUUAUAUACAAACCUUUCAUGCCUUCACUACCUUUUUCAUGUGGGACAAAUGUAUUUUCCUUUAAUUUUCCAAUUAUAUACAAACCUUUCAUGCCUUCACUACCUUUUUCAUGUGGGACAAAUGUAUUUUCCUUUAAUUUUCCAAUUCCAUGAAUUUACUUUCAGUUACCAUUUCUCAUUUAUCCAAGGAUCAUUUUGAUCAUAUAGAUAAAACCAUUUUGAAGUAUUUACAGAGAAAUAUUUGAAACAAUUUUAACUUUUCACUUACACCACAUAGGUCUCACUCAAAAUCACGCCUCAAAUAGCCACUUGUGCUAUAUUUCCAACACCUUCUGUCUCUUUUCCUUAUUGAUCGCAUGCAAAAAAAUUGAGUGCAAUGAAAUUUUUUAUAUUCUUUCGUCUAUGAUGUUUUUGUGUAAAAAAUAAUAAAAUUCAAAUGGAUGUUAAGUAGCCCAUGAAUUUCCAUAGUUUGUAUGUUACAAAAGGAGCUUUGUAACUAUUUUAAAAAAUAAACAGAUUAUUUUGAUUAUUUUGUCAAAUCACAGGAGUUUCUACAUGUUUUUUUAUACAAAUUAAAUUCACACAAAGAUAUGAUUAGUCUUGUUUAUUUUCCUAUUUGAGUCAUAAUUUACAACAAGAACUCUUUGAGCUUUUUAUUUAUUUUAUUAUUUUGGGUGAUAUUUAGUAUCUUAAUAAUGCUAUUAACUAUUUCUAAUAUUUUCCAUAUUAUCUUAUAUUUCUGCAAUGUUAUUCAAAUAGAUUUAUAAGCUAAAGCCAAUAAGCCAAUUGGAUAGUACUAUUGAGACCGUCAAAUAAACAACAUGUCGCAAUGAAUGAGUCUUUCGUCUAACAAUACUUAUUUUAUGUACAUCUCUAAAUUUUAUUUAUGAGAAUACAUAUUUAUAAAUGAUUAAAAAUAAUUUUCUUCUUCAUCUUAUUUAUUUAUUAUUUUUUUUUUUUAGGGAGGGGGAGUGCCAUCCAGACAUACAGUGAAAUGGUCUCACCAAUUGGAAUUGGCAAAAACGACACAAUGUUUCAAACAUACUCAUUUAAUCUGACAGAAUAUAUGAAUUCAUGCAAUAAGUCUUAUGGAGUGGUUCCCAGACCACAUUAGAUUACAACAUAUUACGGCGGUCAUGUAAGUAUUGAUUAAUCCCCAAAUUAAUUCUUUUAAUAAUUUAAUUUUUCUCAUUUUCUUUUUUAAUUAUAAAGUUUACCUCAAUUGUUGUUUGAUUUCUAUUUCUUUUUAAUUUGCAAGAUAUAAGAGUGGUUUUAAAGAGAUUUGGUAGCAACAUUAUUUUACCUAAUGGCCUUCGUGAUAUGAUCCCUAUAGCAGCGAGGGGUAAUUAAGCUUAAAAAUUUUAUACUCUUUUCUAUCGAAGUUACCCGUUUAAUUAUAUGCCUUAUUCUUUUUCUUCUCUUUUUUUUUGGUGGGGGGGGGGGGGGGGAGAUUAUAGGGUUUUGGAAGAUAUCAGACAAUAUAAUAGCAGCGACAACAAGAAACAGUAUGUAAAUUUUUCUAUAAAAUAAAAAAUAAGUGUUCAAUUAUUAACUAAAUUAAAUUAUUCGAUAACAUAAUUAAUAGUGUGUAAAGUGGAGCAGGUUCCCAUUGCUUAGACAUACAACCAGCAAUAGAAGACGACCCAUAAUGGUUAGCAGUGCACAGUGCAGCGAAAGAUUGAAGUGGACAUGCUUCAUGGUUGGAUCCUCAAAUAUUUUGCAGAUUUGCUUCAAAAUCAGAGCAUAAGAUUAAUUUGUGACUACAAAAUUAGUUUUUUUCUUUUUCUUCAUCUCCUCUAUCUUUCUAAUAUUUAUGGAGCAAAGAUAAAUAAUAAUAGUGCACCUAGCUAGUUUGGAUUUGGUUGUAAUUUUCAUAAUCCUUACUCUGAGUUGUCUAAAUGUGUAGAACAGGUGUGCAGUAUUAGUUAAUGUAAAACACUUAAGGCUCAAUCUUUAUGUAAUAAUCAUAUGGUGAAUAUCAAUUCAUAUUCAAUCAGAUGAAUUAACUAUUUCCUCCCUUCGAUUUAAGAGUUACUGUAUAGGUCCUUGAAGCCGGAGGUAGUCAAAGAUUUGCCCUCCACACACACACACACAUAUAAAAAUAUUCAAAUUCAGAAUUUUAAAAUGCGGGAACGUUUGGGAAAACGCAUAAACUGUGCAGUUUAAGUGCUUUAAGUAUUAGACCUUUAAAACCCCGCAGUUUUAAAGUUUUUCCUAAUGUUUCCCACACUUUAAGAUCCUGUACCAAAAAACUACUAUAUAUAUAUAUAUAUUAGGUGUUUAAGCUUGUAUGCUCCGUUUAUUAGUAGCCAAGCUUGCGAGUAUAUUGCUUCUGGUGAACCUCUUCCUAUUCUUCUCCUUAAUAGCUAUUUCUCUUAAUUAUUUGACAAUCUAAUGCAAUCCCAAACGUGACUUAGCAUCAAGUUUAGGAUGGCGGUUGCUGAUAAAAUAAGUUAUUUCUAUUGUGAGGACGAAAUAAGUUGAUGAUUAAAAAAGUAUCUUGUUCAUGUUUAGUAAAUUUGAUUAUGAAUGUGCUGUAUUAUUUAAUGACUAAAAUAAACAUGAGUUUAAAUUGUCUUUUAUUUAUAUAUUAGAGCUUAUAGAAAAGUAAGAUAUAAUUAUUCUUUUCUUAAAAUAUUAAGGUUAUAAUAUGAACAUUUAAAAAGAUAUAGCAACUUAUUUAAUAAGUUGCUUAUAAAAAUAAUCUCUAUUCUGUUUUUAAAAGUUACAGUCAAAAUAGAGAAAAUUAUAAAAAAAAAACAACUUUUAACAAAGCCAUCAAACUUCAUUUUUAUCUAAACUUAUAAAAUAAGCUGCUUAUAGCAUUUCAAUCACAAUCCUGGGGCAUUAAUCUUUGUGUAGAAUCAGAUUAGACAUUGAAUAUUUCUAAUUUUCUACACAUAAAUUAAAAUAUGUAGACUAGAAAAACACCUUGACUUCGUAAGUCCACUUCAUUCUUUAAUUUCCGCAGCAUAUGUCAAGACGUUAUUUUCAAAUAAUUGCCGACUAGGAGAAGUCUUAUAGUCAAGGUGAUUACAUGAGCGUGUUAUGGAAUCGUAGUGGUUCCCUGCCCUCAACUAAAAAAGUGGCCUUCAAAAUUAAAUAUUAAAUAAUGUGGCAUUAUUAAUGUUAUAUAUAUAUAUAUAUAUAUGUGUGUGUGUGUGUGUCUGUGAGUGUGUAUAUAUGUAUAUAUAAUAUUAUAUAUAUAUAUAUAUUAGGUUUCAUGUUUUGCACGGGUUCGAACGGCAGUUGUAAUAUUAAAUAAUAUGGCAUUAUUAAAGUUAAAAAAAUAUCUAAAGUUAAUCAUAAAAAAAUAUUUUUUUUAUAAAAAAAUAAAUAAAGAUUAAAAUGGAUGUUAGGUAGCCCGUGAGUUUCCAUAGUUUGUAUGUUACAAAAGGACUUUUGUAACUAUUUUAAAAAAAUAAAAAAAUUAUUUUGAUUAUUCUGUCAAGUCACAGUAGUGUAGACAUCCUUUCUCUAUAGUUUAUUUAUAAUAUUAAAUUUAUACAAAGAUAUGGUUAGUCUCGUUUAUUUUCCUAUGAGAGUCAUAAUUUACACCAACAAUUCUUUGAGCUUCUUUUUCUUUUUAUUAUUUUGGGUAAUAUUUAAUAUCUUAAUAAUGCUAUUAAUUAUUUCUAAUAUUUUUCAUAUUAUCUCAUGUUUCUGCAAUGUUGUUCAAAUAGAUCUACACCACACAAAUACAAGCCAAUAAGGUUAUAUCUCCAUGAUUGAAUCCAUCUAGAGAAGACCUUGACUCACACUCUUUGAAAACGCGUAUUGGAAAUUAACACCGGGAGGUUGAAAAACAAUUAAUUCUUAUAUAAACGCUUUGCUGAGAAUCAAAUGUAGCUCAAUCAACCGAAAACCAUUAUAAACAUGGCAGCAGCAUCCACUGUUUCGAGAUUGGUGGUCAUUAUAAUUUUAAUUAAUGUUGGUGCUAUAAGUGAUACGACAAUAUUUGCAAUAGCAUCAGCUGCUGGAUUAUUGUCGUCACCCAAACUGUUAGAAAGGGAAGCUUUACUUGGUACAGGCUGGUGGGUCAACAAUUGCGCGACGGGCAACUACACGUCCUAUCAUUGUAAGUGGACUGGCAUCAGUUGCAAUUCAGCGGGAAGCGUAAUCGGGGUCAGCUUACUCUGGUAUGAAAAUGAUAACAUCACAGGAGAGCUCGGUCGUUUCAAAUUCUCUUGCUUUCCGAACCUCAGAAGUUUCAAAAUUCAUUCAAAUUAUUCUAUCUCUGGAAGCAUUCCAUCCGAAAUUACUGCCCUUUCAAUGCUCCAAACUCUUGAACUGCCCUCCAACAAUCUUACCGGUAAGCUACCAAACUUCACUAUAUAUAUAUAUAUAUAUAUAUAUAUGUAUGUAUGUAUGAAGUCGUGCUCAUGCUUGAAGCAGGAGUCUGUUUUUACAACACUGAAGAAGUUUUUUUUAUGAGGAUUUCUUUAUAAAUUUUAUUUAUAUGAGGAUAGUGAAUACUGAUCUCGUUUUUCAUAAAUCACAUGCGCAACAGGAAUUGUCCCUUCAGAGAUGGGGAGAUUGAGGAAUCUUGUCCACCUGGAUCUAUCUGAUAAUUACAUCUGGGGAUAUAUCCCUCCAACUCUUGGUCGUCUAAGCAAAUUGGAAAAUUUCAACCUGUCUUCUAAUGCCCUUGAUGGUAAUAUCCCUCCAACUCUUGGUCGUGUAAGCAAAUUGAAAAUUUUGAACUUGUCUUCUAACUCUCUUGUUGGUAAUAUCCCCCCCACUCUAGGUCAUCUAACCCAUCUAACUACUUUGGCUAUUGCUUGGAACCAAAUUAAUGGUUCCAUCCCAUUAAGAAUCGGGAGUUUGAAGGCUCUUCAAGUUCUUGACUUGUCCAUAAAUGAAAUUGAAGGUUCAAUGCCUUCAACACUUGGCCAUUUAAAGAGAUUGAGAAGUUUAGACUUGUCCGGUAACAAUCUUGUUGGUCCAAUCCCUUCGUCUGUGGGUCAUUUGACUCAGCUAACAACUUUUGAUAUGCACUCAAACCGAAUCAAUGGUUCCAUCCCAUUAGAAAUCGGGAAUUUGAACUUUCUUCAAGUUCUUGAUCUGUCCAACAACAAACUUGAAGGUCCAAUUCCUUCGACCAUAGCUAGUUUAGUCAACUUAACAUCUUUGUUCCUGUGCAAUAACAAUCUAACUGGAUCUAUUCCUUCAACACUUGGUCAUUUAAACAGGUUGACAAGUUUAGACUUGUCCAGUAACAAUCUUGUUGGUCCAAUCCCUUCGUCUGUGGGUCAUUUGACUCAGCUAACAACUUUUGAUAUGCACUCAAACCGAAUCAAUGGCUCCAUCCCAUUAGAAAUCGGGAAUUUGAACUUUCUUCAAGUUCUUGAUCUGUCCGACAACAAACUUGAAGGUCCAAUUCCUUCGACCAUAGCUAGUUUAGUCAACUUAACAUCUUUGUUCCUGUGCAAUAACAAUCUAACUGGAUCUAUUCCUUCAACACUUGGUCGUUUAAACAGGUUGACAAGUUUAGACUUGUCCAGUAACAAUCUUGUUGGUCCAAUCCCUUCGUCUGUGGGUCAUUUGACUCAGCUAACAACUUUUGAUAUGCACUCAAACCGAAUCAAUGGUUCCAUCCCAUUAGAAAUCGGGAAUUUGAAACAUGUUGAAGAUGUGUACCUGUUCAACAACAAACUUGAUGGUCCAAUUCCUCCACAACUCAUGAAUUGCUCAAAGCUGAGAGCAUUAUCAUUGAGUAAAAACUUGUUAAGUGGAAGCAUCCCAUCAGAGAUUGGCAAACUUCAAGAACUAUAUUAUCUUAAUCUGAGCCAUAACUCCAUUAAUGGUAAAAUACCUUCCCAGCUUGGAGCAAUUCCAAACAUAGAUACCGUGGACCUUUGCAUGAAUAACCUCUCCGGUAGUAUCCCUGAAUCUGUCACAAAUGUGCCACACUUAGAUGUGUCAGGCAACAAUUUGGAGGUAGAAAUCCCAAGUACUUCGGCAAAAGCGCCACCACCACAUCACAAAGGCAAUGACAAAAAGAUUGCCACUCGCUUGGUUGCAAUUAUUCUCCCUAUGGUCGCAUUGCUUGCCUUGAUAUUUGGAAUCUUGUUUGUCCGUAGACGAAGGGAUAAGAGAGUUGAACCAGCUGAGACAGGAGAAAUCACCAAGUGCGCUGAUGAGUUUGCAAUUUGGAAUUACGACGGUAGAAUUACAUUUCAAGACAUGAUUGAAGCUACUGAGGAUUUCCAUAUCAAAUACUGCAUUGGAACCGGAGGCUACGGCAGCGUUUACAGAGCACGACUACCCAGUGGAAAAGUAGUUGCUUUGAAGAAGCUUCACGGUUCAGAAACUGAGGAGUUAGCUUCCCUCGAGAGUUUCCGGAAUGAGGCUCGUCUACUGUCCCAAAUACGGCAUCGAAAUAUCGUAAAGCUUUACGGGUUUUGUUUGCACAGGAAAUGUAUGUUCUUAAUCUAUGAGUACAUGGAAAUGGGAAGCUUGUUCUGUGUUCUGCGCACAGAUGAGGAAGCUGUGGGGUUGGAUUGGGCUAAAAGGGUGAACGUUGUGAAGGGCAUGGCUCAUGCUUUGUCAUACUUGCAUCAUGACUGCACACCACCAAUUGUUCACCGGGACAUAUCAAGCAACAACAUUCUACUCAACUCAGAAUUAGAAGCAUUUGUUGCCGACUUUGGCGUUGCUAGAUUGUUAAAUUUUGACUCAUCCAAUCGAACUCUAUUGGCUGGCACUCAUGGAUAUAUUGCUCCAGGUAAUCUUCUAGCCAUUCUUCUUCUGCUUCUUUAAUUAUUCUUUUAAUUAAUUUUUAUAUACACUCUGUUAAGUAAUUUUUAAGCAGUUUUAUUUAGUUAGCUAUUUAGGUUCAAAUUUUGGAAUAGGUAAGGAGCUGAAAGAUAAAUUUAAACUUUGCCUACCCGUUUAACUUUUUUUUAAAAAAAAAAAAAUUACACACAGUUUAAAUAUCAAUUAAAAACAUAUGUUUUUCUGUCAUACCUUGCUGAAGAAGCUCAAAAAUAUAAACAAAUUGCUCUUGUUAUUAUAUAGGAAAUAUCACUAAUAAAGGCUUCUGUUUUCCUAUAGAACUGGCCUACACCAUGAUUGUGACGGAGAAAUCUGAUGUUUAUAGCUUCGGAGUGGUGGCACUAGAAGUACUAAUGGGAAAGCAUCCUGGAGAGCUCCUCUCAUCGUUAUCUUCGUCAUUAGAUAAAAAUAUUAAGCUGAUUGAUUUGCUGGACCCACGCCUCUCACCUCCGGUGGAUCAAAAGAUUAGGCAGGAUAUCAUUCUUGUUUCAACAGUAGCAUUUUCAUGCUUGCGUUCUCAACCAAAGUCUCGACCUACAAUGCAACUCGUGUCCAACGAAUUUAUCGCUCGCAAUAAGACACCAAUGCAAAAACCUUUUCAUGAAAUUUCAAUUUUGGAGCUUAGAAACCAAGAAAUGUAUUUGGUUGAUUAAUGUGAUAUCUAAUUAUGGAUACGUAUAUUUAACUGUUCAUGUAUGUGAUGGGAUUGCUUCUAAUCCUAAUAGAAUUUUCCAAUAAAGGUGACUGUUAAUUAGUUCUGAAAUUAUUAUUAGGUAGUAGCAAUGUAGCGUAUAUUAUGUGUUCGACGAAUUGUCUCCCUUAGUAUUAUUAAUUCCAUUUACACGUUCACUACCUAUAUAUAUUGAAUUGCAAUUAAACAUAUGUGCAAACUACGACAUUAAUGUCUCGGGUAAAGCUAGUACUUUCGCAGUUGGUUAGUCUAAUUGUCACCCCCUCAAUGAGCUGAAUUAAACAGGAUUUUAAGGAAUUUAAAGGUUGUAUCUCUACGAGUUAAAAGGGUAAAUUGUCAUUUUAAUUAUUAGUUUAUUUUACAAAUUAUAUAUAUAUAAACUUCAUGCAGAAUGAGGUUCUUGAUGUCGCGUUAUUUAAUAUAUUAGUUUUUUCACUCCUUUGUAAAUAUUCACACAAACAUAUACAAUAAUUUAGCUGAUCCGAUCAAACAUCCUUAGUUUUUUCACUCCUUUGUAAAUAUUCACACAUAUACAAUAAUUUAGCUGAUCCGAUCAAACAUCCUGGACCCACCGCUGAUGUUAGGAAGCUUCUGCAUAAGCUGUGGUUAGUGUCUUAGUGAUAUCCCGCCAACAACCUGCCAGCAAAAGAUAAACUAAUGUCAGGUCAUGAUCAAGAAAAAUUUGCUAAUGUCAGCAGAAGAAGUCAUAACCAUGCAUAUAUGAAGCACUUUCAAAGAGUAGAUCUAACAGUGUCUGGUUUUCAUUUUUGGAGUUUUUUACCAAUGACUGGAGAGUAGAGAACAACACAUGAUCCCCGUUACAGUAUUGUUGCUUGAAUUUAUAGGCUUCAUCAAUCAGUACCUUCAAAUCCAUAUAUAAUGAGAUGGAAGAAUGAAUUUAAAUUUAUUAAUGUCAUUUCCGAGUUUUAAAAUGAUAAAGCAAGUUGCAACUGAUUCAUUGAAAUUUAAAACAUUCAUAAUGAAGUGCAAGAGCAAAAUAAAAGUUAGGAGCUUUACCUUCAGCAUAACAAGGAGUCUGCUGGAUCAGGCCCACUUUAUCUGCCGCUAUAGACCACCACCUCUUCAUCUUCAGCCUUCUCAAUAACACGGUCUCUUGUUUCUUCAUUUGAUUCUUCGACCACUACAGCUUCACCUUCAACAUUCUCAGUAGGCUCUGAUGGUGUCACAAUUGUUGUGCUGGUGGUGAGGGGGACGGCUUCAUUAUUUUUCCUGUAUUCAUUAGACCGAGCCAUGUGUUUCUUCCCCCUUUUAUGACCUUCCAUCACGACAGCAGAGUGAGUACCAACUUGACAAACUUCACACCAGAAUUCGAAAUUCUCCCUAAGGGGAAGUUUUCUCUUCAUCGUCUCUGCAGUCGGUAUUCCAUUUGUCGUCUUCCGAGUGUUUGCAUUCAGGUCCUUCUUUGGCAGCUCCUCAUUUUUGUUCUCUGAAUCUUCUUCACCCUCCACUUUCUGGUCUAAACCCACAACAGUUUUAAUAGCUUUAACUGAUUCCUCUUCUACUUUAGCUUUUAUUGCUUGACCAGCACUUUCCGGUCUAAACCCACUUUCUGGUCUAAUUGUCUUUCCAGAUUCUUUUGAUGUUGAUGAAGAUGAGGUGGUCUGAGCUCCAAUUAGCUCGGCUUCCUUUGCCUUGUGCUCCUUACCUUGAAGAUGCUCAUCUAGACCACCCUCCACUUUCUGGUCUAAACCAACAACAGUUUUAUUAGCUUUAACUGAUUCCUCUUCUACAGUAGCCUUAAUUUCUUCGCCAGCACUAUCUCUGCUUUCAGUAGAGUUUCUUGAAGUGGAGUUACUGCACAUCUUCUGAUCUCCAAGUAGUCCUUCUUCCUUGGCCUCGUGCUUCUUGCCUUGAAGAUGCUCAUCUAGAUCUCUCUUGCUAGUAGUACUGAACUGACAGAGGGCACAACUCCAAUCUGUGGGUUUCUUUGAACUCGUCAGCGGGAGCUCUCCAGAACCUGCUGGUAGUGUGGCAGCUUCCUGCUUUGAUCCACAAAGAUUGGGAUAGGGCUUAACCUGCUGGGCUUGACAACCCUCCUCUUUCUGGUCUAAACCAACAACAGUUCUAUUAGCGUUAGCUGAUUCCUCUUCUACUUUAGUCUUCAUUUCUUGGCCAGCACUAUCUCUGCUUUCUGUGGAUUUUUUUAUCCACUUCUGAGCUCCAAAUAGCUCUUCUUCCUUGGCCUUCUGCUUCUUACCUUGAGGAUGCUCAUCUAGACCACCCUCCACUUUCUGGUUAACUGAUUCCUCUUGUAUUUUAGUCUUCAUUUCUUGGCCAACACCAUCUCUGCUUUCUGUAGAUUUUUUUGACGUGGAUGGAAUGGAGUUACUGCACCUUUUCUUAUCUCUAAGUAGCCCUGCAACCUUGGCCUUGUGCUUCCUACCUUGAAGAUGCUCAUCUAGACCUCUCUCAGUAGGAGCACUGACCUGACAGAGGGCACAACUCCACUCCUUGGGCUUGUUUGAAUUCGUCAAAGGAAGCUCUCCAGAACCUGCAGGUGGUGUAGCAGUUUUCUGAUCUGAUCCACAAGGAUUGGAAUUGGGCUUAACCUGCAGGGUUUGACCUCCCUCCAAUUUCUGGUCUAAACCAACAACAGUUUUAUUAGCUUUAACUGAUUCAUCUUCUACAUUAGGCUUCAUUUCUUGGUCAGCACUAUCUCUGCUUUCCGUAGCUUUUUUUGAAGUGGAGUUAAUGCACAUCUUCAAAUCUCUAAGUAGUUUUUCCUUGGCCUUGUGCUUCUUACCUUGGAGAUGCACGUCUAGAUCUCUCUCGGUAGUAGCACUGACCUGACAGAGGACACAACUCCACUCCUUGGAUUUGUUUGAACUCGUUGAAGGAAGCUCUCCAGAACCUGCAGGUGGUGUGGCAGCUUUCUGCUUUGAUCCACAAACACUGGUAUCAGGCUUAGGCUGGAAAUGAUACCCAAACACAGAAACCACAAUGCCUUAUAUUAGUUAUCACAUCAAUGGUAAAAAUGAAAAAUAUUCCCAGUGAGCUCCAUCAUCUGCUAUUGCAGUGCAGUACAGAUGAAAGAUUUUGUUUACAAAAUAAUAAUGCACAAAUUUUAUUUUAAAUUGUGAAUUCUCAAAAAAGGACGGAAUGUUGAAG